Molecule: long non-coding RNA, 2535 nt
Filed under: Nicotiana benthamiana
Lineage: Eukaryota; Viridiplantae; Streptophyta; Magnoliopsida; Solanales; Solanaceae
Description: long non-coding RNA (NBEN_LNC030551)
Source: RNAcentral
GAGAGAAGCUCUUUUCGCCUAAACAUUCAUUGCUAUCCAUCUCAGGUAGCGAUAGCCAUCGUCCCUCACCUAUAUUCCUCAUAGCCAUAGACGAGAGAAACACAUAAAAAACGAAAGAGACCCUCCCAAACACAAAGGACCAGAUUGAAACGUUGUUGGUUAUUUGUCAACGGCUCCGAUUUUGGAGUCAAAUUUCAGUCUGAAUUUUGAUGUUGAAAUGGAGCCGGUUUAAGUCGAUGUGCAGGUUUCGAUUCGCAUUGUUGUUGAUUUCUUCUCGUUGAUACUCGAUUUUAAAUGUUGUUGCUCUUCGUUUGGACAUAACUGUAAGGACGAAGCUUUAUUUAAUUUGGAAAGAAUUUUCGCUAUUGAGGUCUGAUUCUUCAUUUCCCUUUCACUCUGUUCUAUGUUCAUCUUUAUGUUAUUUUGGAAAUGUGAUUCAAUGCCUGUUGCCCAUAUUUUUGGUGUUUCUUUUGAUGUGUCGUUUUAACAGUUAGUACAUGGAUCUGUUUUUUUGGUUUGAGCAAAUCAGUUAAGGAAGGUAGGUAGUUCUGAUUCAGUUAUGGGUUUUUUGCUUUGUUGAAAGGUUUAUUUCGUAUACGUUGGUUUGAGUUUCACUGUUUGCAAUGUUCUGUUGAACCUAGAAUGAUACCUUGCUUGAUUUCAGCAUAUUGCAUUUCUUUAUUGCGCUUGGCCAAAGAAUUUUAUUAGCAUUUUAAAAUCCUAUGUUAACGAACUGAUGUAGUAUUUAUGUAAAUAAGAUCUUGAUUCUCUCUCUGUGUUAGUCUUGAAGUGGAAAGAGCAGAGAGAAACCUUGAGAGGUUUAGUUAAUUGAAUUAAGGAUAUCAUGCUUCUAACAUCAAUAAUUUCUAGUUAAGCUCAAAAGUGUUUCAACUAUAGAGAUUCUGUAGAUUUAAUGCCUCAUAUGUGGUUCUUGUUUUCAUUCGCGUCACAUGUUCGAUGAAGUAAUAUGAAAAUCCUUGUGCAUUUAUACUAAUAUUUUGUCAUAUAGUUUAAGCUUCUUCGUGCUUAAGAGUAGUCCACCAUAUCGUGGUGUGCUUUGGAUAAUAAAUUGAUUUUGUGCGCUUUGUGAAUUAUCUGGGAAAAUAACGGGAUGAGUGAGAUGUGUGCGUUAAGAAAUAGGUAGUUAACAUGGUCAUAAUUUCAGUUCUAAAGAUAAAAUGCAAUUGCUAAUGAGUUAAUUGGGUAUUUUAAAAGUCCUGUAAUGGCUCAGAUUCACUUUUACUGUUGCUAAGUUUCGUUUCAUAUUCUCUGAUUUUCAUUUCUUUAAUUGUUCUGGAUGCUUACAUAUUGUCACUUUCUUUUGGUCGGUUGUGAUUAACAUGAAAUUGUUUUGAAUUGUGUCAUGGGAAUUGGGAAGAGGCUGAGCCAUUUGUAAUUAACUUUUUCAUGUCCUUUAGGAAUAAGGCUUGGUUAAAUGCAUGAAAUAAUAAGUUAAAACGAAAUGAGCUUGAAACUUAGUAAAAGUACUCUAUAAUUACGGGCCUUUUUCACACACAAUCAUUAAAUUGGGAAUUACAUAACUCACUAAUAUCGUAGUUUGUUUUAGGUGCAAUUAAUAAAUAAAUUAUCAUGACUAUGAGUACGGUUCCCAUGAUAUAGUUAUGAUGCCUGAUUUUCAAAAUUCAGGUGCACAUUUAUGUGACCCAAAUCCAAAUCUCGACAACGUUAAAUAAAGUGUGUUGCGGACUGCGGGUGCAUUUAUGUGACGUGGUUCAAGACAUAUUUUAUAUGACGUAAUUUUCUUUUAAAAAAGAAUAAAAUCGGUUAUAGGUUUAAAAUUGCCAUAGGCUAAAACAUGUACUAAGAUCAGAUAAUACGCCAUUUAUAACAGUUGAGCGACCGUGCUAGAACCACGGAAUCCGAGAGUGCCAAACACCUGCUUACGGGUUAACAGAAUUCCUUACUCGGAUUUCUAGUUCGCGGACUGUAAUACAAAUUCAACCAUUUCCUCGAUUCAGGAUUUAAACCGGUGACUUGGGACACCAUAAAUCUCCCAAGUGGCGACUCUGAAAUUUUAAACAAAUAAUCUCGUUUCGAUUAUCACUUUAAGUUGAAAAAAAACUCUCAAUAUACUCCCUUUGCGAGGGUGUGUGAAAAGGAGGUGUGACAGCUGUGGCGACUCAGCUGGGGAUGAAACCUAGAAUCUCAGGUUCUAGGUUCAAGAAUUCGAGCUUAGAUGAAUUGUUAUAUUUGCCUUUAUGUGUUAUCUAAUUUUGCUACAUGUUUGGGCCUAAUGUGCUACCGUUUUGAUAUCAUGUGAACUAUAUAUGAACUGUUACGAAGCCUUUCUCUUCUCAUCUUCAGGGAUGUGCUCGCAGGUCGAGAAUCUCUAUUUUGUUAGCGUCAUACCUUAAAAUAAGAAAGAGGCUUGGACAAGUUACUAAGUCGGAUGGUUUUUUUGUUCCCGGUACGUAGCCCACUCCUCGACUCGAGUUGUCUGUUUGGGUACACUAGUCUAAAACAGAUGCCUAGGUUUUAAACCUAGAAUAACUCAUCCUCAUGCCGGAUCCCCAG